GAUGAACGCUGGCGGCGUGCCUAAUACAUGCAAGUCGAGCGAACAGACGAGGAGCUUGCUCCUCUGACGUUAGCGGCGGACGGGUGAGUAACACGUGGAUAACCUACCUAUAAGACUGGGAUAACUUCGGGAAACCGGAGCUAAUACCGGAUAAUAUAUUGAACCGCAUGGUUCAAUAGUGAAAGACGGUUUUGCUGUCACUUAUAGAUGGAUCCGCGCCGCAUUAGCUAGUUGGUAAGGUAACGGCUUACCAAGGCAACGAUGCGUAGCCGACCUGGGAGGGGGAUCGGCCACACUGGAACUGAGACACGGUCCAGACUCCUACGGGAGGCAGCAGUAGGGAAUCUUCCGCAAUGGGCGAAAGCCUGACGGAGCAACGCCGCGUGAGUGAUGAAGGUCUUCGGAUCGUAAAACUCUGUUAUUAGGGAAGAACAAAUGUGUAAGUAACUAUGCACGUCUUGACGGUACCGAAUCAGAAAGCCACGGCUAACUACGU
RNAcentral lists this ribosomal RNA (496 nucleotides) under uncultured bacterium. RNAcentral describes it as "partial 16S ribosomal RNA". It matches the Rfam family "Bacterial small subunit ribosomal RNA", at positions 28 to 506 of the family's 1533-position model. The record is from RNAcentral.